UCAAAUAUAAAAAUCUAAGAAUGGGAUCUUUUCAUUUCUUAGUUGUUCAGAGUCAAAGAAUCUGAUUACUUUUUCCUUACACGUUAACAAAACAUUGUAACAUGUAGUUAUUUAGUUAUAUUGCAGAGUAUAUGGAAUGGUAAAAAUCCCAGUUAAUCAAGAGGUCAACAAAUUAUUUAAAAAACUUAAAAUUUCCCCAAAACCUAUUUGAAUUAUGCUUUAUUAUAUUGGGAGUUUUGGGUGGUUUUUUUUAAUAUCACUUUACCCCAUUCCCCAAAAUGUCCUCAUAAAGGUUUAAUUUACAAGUGCAACUUAUCCAAAAAGUGAUCAGGUUUUUUUUUUUCAUCAAGUCUAACCUUAUUCUUCAUAUUCUCUCCCAUAUAAUUUCUCAUGUAUCUUUUAACUUCUCUUGAAUUCCACUUUAUAUGUGUAAGCACAUAUAGGACAGUCACUUCUAACCUUAAUCUUACAUCAGCUUUUUUUUUAACUUAUGAUUAGUAAUGGCAAGUGUAUUUCAUUUAUUAAAUUUACAAACACUA
RNAcentral lists this long non-coding RNA (539 nucleotides) under Bos taurus (domestic cattle). Its description in RNAcentral is "long non-coding RNA NONBTAT010659". The record is from RNAcentral. Lineage: Eukaryota; Metazoa; Chordata; Mammalia; Artiodactyla; Bovidae.